GGUUAAGCGACUAAGCGUACACGGUGGAUGCCCUGGCAGUCAGAGGCGAUGAAGGACGUGCUAAUCUGCGAAAAGCGUCGGUAAGGUGAUAUGAACCGUUAUAACCGGCGAUGUCCGAAUGGGGAAACCCAGUGCAAUUCGUUGCACUAUCGUUAACUGAAUACAUAGGUUAACGAGGCGAACCGGGGGAACUGAAACAUCUAAGUACCCCGAGGAAAAGAAAUCAACCGAGAUUCCCCCAGUAGCGGCGAGCGAACGGGGAGCAGCCCAGAGUCUGAAUCAGCUUGUGUGUUAGUGGAACGGUCUGGAAAGUCCGACGGUACAGGGUGAUAGUCCCGUACACCAAAAUGCACAGGUUGUGAACUCGAAGAGUAGGGCGGGACACGUGGUAUCCUGUCUGAAUAUGGGGGGACCAUCCUCCAAGGCUAAAUACUCCUGACUGACCGAUAGUGAACCAGUACCGUGAGGGAAAGGCGAAAAGAACCCCGGCGAGGGGAGUGAAAAAGAACCUGAAACCGUGUACGUACAAGCAGUGGGAGCACCUUCGGGUGUGACUGCGUACCUUUUGUAUAAUGGGUCAGCGACUUAUAUUCUGUAGCAAGGUUAACCGUAUAGGGGAGCCGCAGGGAAACCGAGUCUUAACUGGGCGUUAAGUUGCAGGGUAUAGACCCGAAACCCGGUGAUCUAGCCAUGGGCAGGUUGAAGGUUGGGUAACACUAACUGGAGGACCGAACCGACUAAUGUUGAAAAAUUAGCGGAUGACUUGUGGCUGGGGGUGAAAGGCCAAUCAAACCGGGAGAUAGCUGGUUCUCCCCGAAAGCUAUUUAGGUAGCGCCUCGUGAAUUCAUCUUCGGGGGUAGAGCACUGUUUCGGCUAGGGGGUCAUCCCGACUUACCAACCCGAUGCAAACUACGAAUACCGAAGAAUGUUAUCACGGGAGACACACGGCGGGUGCUAACGUCCGUCGUGAAGAGGGAAACAACCCAGACCGCCAGCUAAGGUCCCAAAGUCAUGGUUAAGUGGGAAACGAUGUGGGAAGGCACAGACAGCCAGGAUGUUGGCUUAGAAGCAGCCAUCAUUUAAAGAAAGCGUAAUAGCUCACUGGUCGAGUCGGCCUGCGCGGAAGAUGUAACGGGGCUAAACCAUGCACCGAAGCUGCGGCAGCGACACUAUGUGUUGUUGGGUAGGGGAGCGUUCUGUAAGCCUGCGAAGGUGACCUGUGAGGGUUGCUGGAGGUAUCAGAAGUGCGAAUGCUGACAUAAGUAACGAUAAAGCGGGUGAAAAGCCCGCUCGCCGGAAGACCAAGGGUUCCUGUCCAACGUUAAUCGGGGCAGGGUGAGUCGACCCCUAAGGCGAGGCCGAAAGGCGUAGUCGAUGGGAAACAGGUUAAUAUUCCUGUACUUGGUGUUACUGCGAAGGGGGGACGGAGAAGGCUAUGUUAGCCGGGCGACGGUUGUCCCGGUUUAAGCAUGUAGGCUGGUUAUCCAGGCAAAUCCGGAUAAUCAAGGCUGAGGUGUGAUGACGAGGCACUACGGUGCUGAAGUAACAAAUGCCCUGCUUCCAGGAAAAGCCUCUAAGCAUCAGGUAACAUCAAAUCGUACCCCAAACCGACACAGGUGGUCAGGUAGAGAAUACCAAGGCGCUUGAGAGAACUCGGGUGAAGGAACUAGGCAAAAUGGUGCCGUAACUUCGGGAGAAGGCACGCUGGUGUGUAGGUGAAGUCCCUGCGGAUGGAGCUGAGACCAGUCGAAGAUACCAGCUGGCUGCAACUGUUUAUUAAAAACACAGCACUGUGCAAACACGAAAGUGGACGUAUACGGUGUGACGCCUGCCCGGUGCCGGAAGGUUAAUUGAUGGGGUUAUCCGUAAGGAGAAGCUCUUGAUCGAAGCCCCGGUAAACGGCGGCCGUAACUAUAACGGUCCUAAGGUAGCGAAAUUCCUUGUCGGGUAAGUUCCGACCUGCACGAAUGGCGUAAUGAUGGCCAGGCUGUCUCCACCCGAGACUCAGUGAAAUUGAACUCGCUGUGAAGAUGCAGUGUACCCGCGGCAAGACGGAAAGACCCCGUGAACCUUUACUAUAGCUUGACACUGAACAUUGAGCCUUGAUGUGUAGGAUAGGUGGGAGGCUUUGAAGCGUGGACGCCAGUCUGCGUGGAGCCAACCUUGAAAUACCACCCUUUAAUGUUUGAUGUUCUAACGUUGGCCCCUGACCGGGGUUGCGGACAGUGUCUGGUGGGUAGUUUGACUGGGGCGGUCUCCUCCCAAAGCGUAACGGAGGAGCACGAAGGUUAGCUAAUCCUGGUCGGACAUCAGGAGGUUAGUGCAAUGGCAUAAGCUAGCUUGACUGCGAGCGUGACGGCGCGAGCAGGUGCGAAAGCAGGUCAUAGUGAUCCGGUGGUUCUGAAUGGAAGGGCCAUCGCUCAACGGAUAAAAGGUACUCCGGGGAUAACAGGCUGAUACCGCCCAAGAGUUCAUAUCGACGGCGGUGUUUGGCACCUCGAUGUCGGCUCAUCACAUCCUGGGGCUGAAGUAGGUCCCAAGGGUAUGGCUGUUCGCCAUUUAAAGUGGUACGCGAGCUGGGUUUAGAACGUCGUGAGACAGUUCGGUCCCUAUCUGCCGUGGGCGCUGGAGAAUUGAGGGGGGCUGCUCCUAGUACGAGAGGACCGGAGUGGACGCAUCACUGGUGUUCGGGUUGUCAUGCCAAUGGCACUGCCCGGUAGCUAAAUGCGGAAGAGAUAAGUGCUGAAAGCAUCUAAGCACGAAACUUGCCCCGAGAUGAGUUCUCCCUGAGACUUUAAGUCUCCUGAAGGAACGUUAAAGACGAUGACGUUGAUAGGCCGGGUGUGUAAGCGCAGCGAUGCGUUGAGCUAACCGGUACUAAUGAACCGUGAGGCUUAACCUU
RNAcentral lists this ribosomal RNA (2902 nucleotides) under Klebsiella pneumoniae. RNAcentral's name for it is "23S ribosomal RNA". It matches the Rfam family "Bacterial large subunit ribosomal RNA". RNAcentral also lists the same sequence under 2 other names. The record is from RNAcentral. Lineage: Bacteria; Pseudomonadati; Pseudomonadota; Gammaproteobacteria; Enterobacterales; Enterobacteriaceae.